AGCUCAGUUUUCCAGCCCCUUUCCACCGAGAUGGAGGCUAAUUUUGUUCUCUCACAGAAGGUAGUUUGAGCAGUGUGACUGAUAACUCUAACUGAUUAGUUUUCAGUGGAAGUUCUGUGUGUGACCUGCUGAAAACAGUUUACAGGACGAAUUUCUAGUGUGUGCGAUGAGUAAGGUAUAGUGAACAGCUCUAUACUCCAAAGUAGAAUAGUAAUUGUAGGAUGUUUUGUCAUAUUAUUUAAGAAUUGUAAAAUAUAUGUUUCUUCUGCUGACUGAAACAACAGCUGAAGUACAUAUUACAAACAACUUUACGCUCGUAUUUAGAAAUUGUACACCGCAAAAAUGUCCAUUGGUCUAAAUUUUUUCUCCAUAAUACAGCACUUUCAUCUCAACUACCGCUUCUAACAAGU
Eurytemora carolleeae is the source of this 410-nucleotide long non-coding RNA. RefSeq lists it as uncharacterized. The record is from RefSeq and is a predicted model, not a curated record. The transcript is spliced from 3 exons. NCBI's taxonomy places the organism in Eukaryota, Metazoa, Arthropoda, Copepoda, Calanoida, Temoridae.